This 623-nucleotide ribosomal RNA is filed under the name Ciliophora sp. Its description in RNAcentral is "SSU rRNA". It matches the Rfam family "Eukaryotic small subunit ribosomal RNA", at positions 341 to 980 of the family's 1831-position model. Lineage: Eukaryota; Ciliophora. The record is from RNAcentral.
CUACCAUGGCGAUCACGGGUAACGGAGAAUUAGGGUUCGAUUCCGGAGAGGGAGCCUGAGAAACGGCUACCACUUCUAAGGAAGGCAGCAGGCGCGUAAAUUACCCAAUCCUGACUAAGGGAGGUAGUGACAAGAAAUAGCGAAUCGGGAGUAUUAUACUUUGCGAGUUUGCAAUGAGAUUCAACCUAAAAAACUUAACGAGGAUCCAUUGGAGGGCAAGUCUGGUGCCAGCAGCCGCGGUAAUUCCAGCUCCGAUAGCGUAUAUUAAAGUUGUUGCAGUUAAAAAGCUCGUAGUUGAACUUCUGCUCAGAUAUCCAAAUACAUUAUUUGUGACGUCUUGAGCAUCCCCUUUGAAUUAAUGACGUGCACUUUGUUGGGCAGUCAGGUAUUCAAGGAAUUUACUUUGAAAAAAUUAGAGUGUUUCAAGCAGGCGAUUGCUGGAAUACAUUAGCAUGGAAUAAUAGAAAAUGACCUCUCUAUCAUUUUAUUGGUAAGUGAUUAGAGGUAAUGAUUAACAGGGACAGUUGGGGGCAUUAGUAUUGCUUUGUCAGAGGUGAAAUUCAUUGAUUAUAGCAAGACUAACUUAUGCGAAAGCAUUUGCCAAGGAUGUUUUCAUUAAUCAA